Molecule: ribosomal RNA, 482 nt
Filed under: uncultured bacterium
Lineage: Bacteria
Description: partial 16S ribosomal RNA
Rfam family: Bacterial small subunit ribosomal RNA
Source: RNAcentral
AUUGAACGCUGGCGGCAUGCCUUACACAUGCAAGUCGAACGGUAACAGGUCUUCGGAUGCUGACGAGUGGCGAACGGGAGAGUAAUACAUCGGAACGUGCCCAGACGUGGGGGAUAACGAGGCGAAAGCUUUGCUAAUACCGCAUACGAUCUAAGGAUGAAAGCAGGGGACCGCAAGGCCUUGUGCGUUUGGAGCGGCCGAUGGCAGAUUAGGUAGUUGGUGGGAUAAAAGCUUACCAAGCCGACGAUCUGUAGCUGGUCUGAGAGGACGACCAGCCACACUGGGACUGAGACACGGCCCAGACUCCUACGGGAGGCAGCAGUGGGGAAUUUUGGACAAUGGGCGAAAGCCUGAUCCAGCAAUGCCGCGUGCAGGAUGAAGGCCUUCGGGUUGUAAACUGCUUUUGUACGGAACGAAAAGGCUCUGGCUAAUACCUGGGGCACAUGACGGUACCGUAAGAAUAAGCACCGGCUAACUACGUG